This 511-nucleotide ribosomal RNA is filed under the name Panorpa similis. RNAcentral's name for it is "partial 16S ribosomal RNA". Lineage: Eukaryota; Metazoa; Arthropoda; Insecta; Mecoptera; Panorpidae. The record is from RNAcentral.
AUGUAAGGAUUCAAAGGUCGAACAGACCUAAACUUUGAACUUCUACACCCAAAAAUAACCCUUAAUCCAACAUCGAGGUCGCAAUCUUUCUUGUCGAUAUGAACUCUCAAAAAAAAUUACGCUGUUAUCCCUAAGGUAACUUAGUCUUAUAAUCAGUAAAACUGGAUCAAUAAUUCAAUAAUUUUUGUUUAAAAAUAAAAAGAGUUUUAUAAAUCUUCCUGUCACCCCAACAAAAUAUUUAUUUUAAUAAAAUUUAAAAAUUACUAUAAAUAAAUUAUUAUAUAAAUAUAAAGUUCUAUAGGGUCUUCUCGUCCUUUAAUUUUAUUUAAGCCUUUUAACUCAAAAGUUAAAUUAUAAUUUCAUUUAAAUUGAGACAGUCAACACCUCGUUCAAUCAUUCAUUCUAGCCCUCAAUUAAAAGACUAAUUAUUAUGCUACCUUUGCACGGUCAAAAUACCGCGGCCCUUUAAAAUAUCAGUGGGCAGAUUAGACUUUAAAUUAUUUUCUAAAAG